CCUACGGGGAGCAGCAGUGGGGGAUAUUGCACAAUGGGGGAAACCCUGAUGCAGCGACGCCGCGUGGGCGAAGAAGUAUUUCGGUAUGUAAAGCCCUAUCAGCAGGGAAGAAGAAAUGACGGUACCUGAGUAAGAAGCACCGGCUAAAUACGUGCCAGCAGCCGCGGUAAUACGUAUGGUGCAAGCGUUAUCCGGAUUUACUGGGUGUAAAGGGAGCGCAGGCGGCACGGCAAGCCUGAUGUGAAAGCCCGCGGCCCAACCGCGGGACUGCAUUGGGAACUACCGGGCUGGAGUGCCGGAGAGGUAGGCGGAAUUCCUAGUGUAGCGGUGAAAUGCGUAGAUAUCAGGAGGAACACCGGCGGCGAAGGCGGCUUACUGGACUGUAACUGACGUUGAGGCUCGAAGGAGUGGGGAGCAAACAGGAUUAGAUACCCUUGUAGUC
This 442-nucleotide ribosomal RNA is filed under the name uncultured bacterium. RNAcentral describes it as "partial 16S ribosomal RNA". It matches the Rfam family "Bacterial small subunit ribosomal RNA", at positions 338 to 795 of the family's 1533-position model. The record is from RNAcentral.